RNAcentral lists this ribosomal RNA (195 nucleotides) under uncultured bacterium. RNAcentral's name for it is "partial 16S ribosomal RNA". It matches the Rfam family "Bacterial small subunit ribosomal RNA", at positions 326 to 539 of the family's 1533-position model. The record is from RNAcentral.
ACGCUCGACACCUAGAGGCAGCAGUGGGGAAUAUUGCACAAUGGGGGAAACCCUGAUGCAGCGACGCCGCGUGAGCGAAGAAGUAUUUCGGUAUGUAAAGCUCUAUCAGCAGGGAAGAAACUGACGGUACCUGACUAAGAAGCACCGGCUAAAUACGUGCCAGCAGCCGCGGUAAUCUGAGCGGGCUGGCAAGGC